UCAACCCCUGGUCAGGGAACUAGAUCCCACAUGUUGCAACUAAAACCCAGUUACCCAAGUAAAUAUAUUAGUUAAUUUUUAGAAAAGAAUUACUGAUUUAAGGCAAUAGGUAAGAGGAGAAAAACUAUGAAAUUGGCUGCUCUCCUUUUAUAUUUAACACUACCUAUAGUUUACAGCCUACUUUCUAUAGGUGAUACAUGGACCAUAGAGGUUCCACACACAAUGAAUGACCAGGCAUUUUUCAUAUGUUACCUAUAAUAUUCACAUUCACCUUGAAGGCAGAUAUUCCCAUCCCCUUUUUGCAAAUAGAGAAAUUAAGAAGCAUAAAGAUCACAUAAUAUGCCCCAGAUUACACAGCAAGUAAAUGCAAGGAAUACCUAUGAACCCAGGGCUUCAAAAUCAAGCUUCAAAAUCCUCAUUUCAUACUGGGCAAUUUAAGUGUUUACCAUCCACUAUAAAUGAGAUAUAAAAGACAAUAUGGUCUGAACACAUUCCUGACUUUUAUUUUCCUCCAAACUGAACAAAUAAAAUGUCAGAAAUAUCAUAGAAAUUUCUGUGGUUCAAUUGACAAACUCCAACAUUGAUGAAGAUCUGUUAUACACAGAACUGGCUACAGAUAGAGAAAAAGACCAAGUAACAGAGACAAAAAGAGAAAAGAAUUUCUACCUUAUUCAUGCUUAAAUAGAUGGAUAGAUAUGUAGAAAUACGUGCUUUUUUGAUUUUGAGAUAACUACAAAUAAUUUUAAGGAGCUGCAUUGAACUGGUCAGAAAAUUUUUUUCCAUUCUAUUUGCUGAAUUUUCUAAAUUUUCACUUUAAAUAUCAAAAUUGAUUUAGACAUGGUAAAUAUGUCCCUGAAGUAUCCAGAGUGACUCAUGAUCUUCAGAGAGCACUAUUGAGCUGGUAUCCUGGAGCAUUUUUGGCAAUAGAAUCUGGAUUUUUUUUUUCUUGAGAACAUCAAAAACCAACCCUGGCUAUAAUAAGCAAAACGGAAUUUAUUAGAAGAGCUUAGAGGAUUCCUGGAAAGUUGGGUCCCCCAACUUGGACAAAGAAUAGGAACCAAGUUGCUCUCAAGGGUCAGGAAGCAAGUUGUCAGCAAAGUUCUUGCAGCAGUAAGAAUGUCUUCUCAGCUGGUAACUGUUUUCAUCCCAGUGCUUCAGUGAUUCAACGUUCAGUCUCAAGAGUGUCUAAAUGUCCAGUCCUCAAUAACAUGCUCAGUACUCCUCUCCCUGCUCUUUGCCUGGUCCUACAGCCUUUCGUUCCCAUGAAGGAAAGAAGCCACUUCCAAAAAUGACUCACAGUAAAGGGUUCUCACAACAGAGGCUGAGAGACCAAAUCAGGCAGCCAGACAGUGGCUGCCCCACCACAAGCAGCCAUCCCACAGGAAGGCCUCAGAGACUAAAGUUUUUUCCAUAAACAAGAGGCAGACAGAGGACACAGCGGGGGAUCUGUCCCUGAAAUGCCCCAUAGGAUCCUGCUCAGAAAAAGCUCAAGCUAGUCUUGUAAAGGAUGAAAGAGUACAUGGAGAGAGGACCCAGAGUACAUGGAAAGAGGACCCAGCCAUGCCAGCCAAUCCAGCUUCUGCAGGUGAGAGCUACACACUGGCAGGGAACUGAGAGCUGCUGACCCUCCAUGGAGCAAAGCCAGACCCAAAGGACUGACCUACAGAACUGUGAGCAAGUGCUGGUCUGGAGGCUGGAAGUUCAAGAUCAAGGUCUGGCAGUUGGUUUGCAGUGAGAGCUCUCUUGUUGAUUUAUAGAGGACUGCCUUCUCACCACGUCCUCACGGGGCCCUUUCCUGGGGUGGGGGUGAGAGAGAGAGAGUUAUGGUGUCUCUUCUUAUAAGAAAUACCCCUAUCAGAUUAGAGUCCCAACCUUACAAUCUUAUUUAAUCUUAAUUAUUCCCAUAAAGGCCCUACCUCCAAAUAGAGUCACAUUGAAGUUAGGGCCUCAACAUGUGAAUUUUGAGGAAUUCAAACAGAGACCAAACUAACAGCAACAAACAGCCUUGCCCACUGUUGGCGGAAAUCAUCAGUAAAGGGUCAAUAAUAGAAAUGAAAAGGAGUCUUAUUCGUGCCAAACUGAAGACUACAGCCAGAGAGAUAUAGAUUCAAAAAGCCCUUGAAUUGUGUUCCCCUGGGCUACAAAAUAGAGGAGGUUCUAAAGGAAAAAACUACAAAAUCACAGCAGCUGUUCAUCAAGAAUUAAUUUUGGAGCUGCAAGAAAUAAGGAAGCUUGCUAAGCAAGGAUUGGUUAUGGUCUGAAAUGGUUGUGUAGUUACAAGAGGAGACCCUGAGACCUAAGGUUGCAGCUGGCAUCUGCCAGCAGACACUGUUAUGAGAACAGCUGGUGACAUCCUUGAGUCUGAUAUAGUUCAAAAAUUCAACUUCCCACGGAUGCAGGAAAUCACAUCCAUAACGGUCACCGGCUCCAGCUGGGUGCCUGAACCACUGUGACUCCAUUCUGAUUUUCAAAUGCAUCCUUUCCUUUAAAGGUUAAAGCAGAUGUACAGUGCAUGUUUAAUGGGCCAUAAAACAGGCUGUUUUAGUUACCAUAAAGUUUAGGUUCAAUCAUGUAUAAGCCAAAAUUACUUCCCCACAUCUCAAUAGGUAAAAACUUCUCCCAUCCCUACAUCAUUAUGUCUUGUGGCCCUGAGAAUGCAGCAUCCUGUUCCCUGGGCUCCAAAGGAAAUGCCUGAUUCAUUUUUUUUUUUAACCUCCCUCUAUCAUGGGACUGUGCCCAAGUUAUUCAAUCUUGCUGAGCCUUGCUUUCUCCACCUGAAAGUGGGUUGUGAGUAUUAAAUAAAACAACAACACAAAUUUCAUAAUCUAAUCCCAGCCACAUAGCAUCUACUCUAUAUACCUGUGCUCCCUGUUUUCAGUUCUCUUCAGAUGAUGCUUAUCAGCACAGCAUGUCCACCCUAGUCCUACUUGUUCAGCAGCAUCCGUGGACAUUUGUCCACCCAUAGAUCGUGUUAGAGGGCAGAUCCUAGCCUGGCUCACUCUGCCCCACUCUGCCUCUCUGAGCGAGCUUUACUCUGCAGACAUGCCAGGUGGAGAGCGUAUACCCCACUCUGUACAGCUGGGGUCCCCCAUGUACACACCCAGCUUCUACCCAACAGCCGCACCCAUGCCACUUGUAGAAAGUGGGGGGAGACAGAGGCUGCACUUCCACUGCUUCUGGAAGCAUUUGAUUUUUCUGAGAUGGGAGGGCCUGAGACAUGGGCUGAAGGCCCCGCUCCAAGGUGGGGAUCAGCAAAAGUGAUCCCCUGUGACAGUGAAAGCCCUGAACUCUCAGGACCCACGUGGGGCAGCAGGUCGCUGGCUUUUGGAUUCACACGGUGACCAAGGAGGCAGUUCACUCACGGGGCCAGUUCUGCGAUGUUGGUCUUGAAGUUAGCUCUGAAAGUUCCACCAGAGUCUUCCUUUCCAGACUGCGAUGAUUUUGUGGACCCAAUCCCCUGUAGAGUCUCUUUGUGCUCAAAUGUCCUGGAGUCAUCACCACCUAAAGCGGACACUGUCUCAGACAAGUGUGCAGAGGUCAAAGAUACACAGUACCUGAGGCUAUAGGUCCAUGGAACUCACACCCUGAAGUUUCCUGUGUGCUUGCUGUGGUCACCCCAGUGCCCAGAACUGCCCAGUAGACAGUUGUGAAACUGUUGACCCAACAUUGCCCCUUCAUUAGUUAUUGAUCCCUUAUUAGUUAUCUGCCACUGCCUAACUAAUUACCUCAUAUUUAAUGGCUUAAAACAAUACACAUCUGUUACCUUGCAGUUUCUAUGGUUCAGGACUCUGGGAUUGGUGUGGCUGAAUGAUUCUAGGCUGUGGUCAUCCCAAAGCUACCUGAAGGAGGCUCCCUUGCCAAGCCCCCGACCCUCACCCCAGGCUGUUGGCAGGAGUCCCCGUUCUUCACCAUGUGGACCACUUCCAGCUGCCGGAGCAGACUCACAACGCUGCAGCGUGAUUCUGUCCCCACAUGGUGGUCCCUACCAAAGAGCAGGUGACUUUCCCGAGUGAGUGAUUCAAGGGUGAAGCAGACAGAGACCCACACACAUCUGAGACCCAAGCUCCAAUCUCUGAAUAAUCUGCAUCUUAGAGAUAACAUCUCAUCUCAUACCUAUUAAGGUGGCUAUUAUCAAAAAACAAGAACAAGUGUUGGUGAAGAUGUAGAGAAAUCGGAACCCUUGUGUCCUGCUGGUGGAAAUGUCAAAUGGUGCCACUGCCAUGUAAGUCCAUUUGACAGUUCAUCCAGAAAGUUAAGCCUUGAAUUGUCAUAUGAUCGAGCAAUUCCACUCACAAGUAUAUACCCAGAAGAAUUGAAAGCAGGGACUUGUACGUCUGUGUUCACAGCUGUGUUAUUCACAAUAGCCAAAGGGGGAAGCCGUCCAAGUGUUCCUUGAUAAAUAAGAUAUGGAAUAUACACACAAUGGAAUAAUAUUCAGCCUUAAAAAAGGAAAUUGCAAAACAUGCUACAACAUGGAGGGUAUUAUGCUAAAUGAAGUUAGCUAAUCAUGAGAGGACAAAUAUGAUUCCUCUUGUAGGAAGUAGCUAGGAUAACCAAACUCAAAGAGAAAGAAAAAUGAUGGCUGCCAGAGGGUGGGGGCAGGGGGAAAUGGGGAGCUGUUCAGUGGGUGCCGUAUGUCAGUCUGGGAUGAAGAAAAUGUUCUGGAGGUAAAUGGUGGUGAUGGUUGCCCAACAAUGUGAAUGUCACUGGACCGAACCUUGCCCUGAAGAUGCCCACUCACAGCUCCUGUCGGUCAGGAUUCUGGGAGCAGCUCUGCUGUGAUUCUUGGUUGGGGCCUCUCACAGGAUAACUAUACACUGAACUGUUGUACUGAAAAUGGUUAAAAGGAUCAAUAUUAUAUACAUUUUACUACAACUUUAAAGAAUAAAUUAAAAAUAAGAUAGAAGUGACAGCUCAUCAUUUCUACCAAAUUCCCUUGGCUGGAAGUGAAUGACUCGAUCCUGCUGACACUCAAGGAGAGGGAACUCAGCUCCACCCACUGAGGGUGGGAGAGACACAGGAUGUGUGGGGUGUGUUUGUCCACCUCCACACCUGUUCAAGGCUUCCCUUCCAAAACAGGCACAACUGGUAGAAAAGUAGAAAAAUAUACCAGCUACUUAAGGAUAAAUCGCAAACUACUUCAGGGUGGACUUCCUGCACAGGAUGAUCCAAGAGGCAAGGAUAAGUGUUCCUCCUCAGGUUGUACUUCGAUUUAUCUCCUUAUACCCGUGGGCCCUGACACCUAAAUUGGUUUACCUCAGAGAGUAAAAUACUGAUAAGGAGAUUAGCCUAUGUAUAAAAUAGGUUAUCCAAACUCGGUGAAUUAUUCUUUAAGAAAGAAAAUUCUAUGGAUCAUUUUCACCUCUACCUACACGCCACUCGUACCUCCCCAGACUAUCAGGCUAAAGGCGUACUCUAGCUGAAAUAACUAAUAAUAAGUUAGUCAUGAACUGCCUCUUUGCGCCCCCUGGACUGUUGCCCACAGGUUCCUUUGGCCAUGGCGUUCUCCAGACCAGACUACUGGAGUGGCUUGCCAUUCCCUUCUCCGGAGGAUGUUCCUGACCCAGGGACUGAACCUGGGUUUCCUGCAUUCCUGGUGGAUUCUUUACCAUCUGAGCCACCAGGGAAGCCCAGGAAGAGAAACCGCUAACACAGGGAAGUGUACUCAAUAUCUUGUAGGAAUCUAUAAUGAAACAUAUGUAUUUAUGAAUCACUUUGCUUUACACCGGAAAUUAACACAACAUUGUAAAUCAACAACAUUUUAAUAAAUUUUAUUUUUAAAAAAACUUUAAAAAUAAAAAAGGAGAAAGAAAAUUCUAUCUUUUAUGAUUUCAAAUCAAAUGUAAUUACUUGAAGGACUGCAUUUGAAGUGGCACAAUAUUUGCAAGGACAACAUUCAAAAUUUGCAAUCUGUGAUUUUGUUGAAUUGUUAGGGUAAGUAUAUAAAACCAUAUUCUAAAGGCUUCUUGAUAUAUUCCCCUGUGAUCACCCUGGGCCUCUCAGUCACAGAAAGGAAUAGGGGUGAUCAUAGGCUAGGGGUGGUCAUAGGAGAGAGCGUGGCUGGAGAGAAACCCCUGCAUCUGUAAUUCCUUUCUAACGUCUUUAAAGUCCUGUGCAGGGGAAACAUCAGACAGAGAUCACUCUCAGGGUGGCAUUGCCACUUCUUCCCAAAGGAAUAUACUAACAAACAUGUUUUUAAAAAGUUCUCUCAAGUAGUUUAAUUUUUCCUCAGUAUAAUGAGGAAUUUAUUGUUUUUCUCUCUGAUUUGUUCAUCUAUCUCUUUCUGCAUUGCUUUUUCCUUUCUGAUGAAAGGCCAAACUAUUUCCAAUUUAAGCCAGCACCUCGAGGCUUUUGGUAAUCUUGUAGCUGCUCUCCUUCCUCUUCUCUUUUCCUUCCCCAGAGCCUAUUACCGAAGGGUUGCAGCUAUUUCUUAAUUUUAAACAGUUGCUUUCUGGG
Odocoileus virginianus texanus is the source of this 6456-nucleotide non-coding RNA. The record is from RefSeq and is a predicted model, not a curated record. Lineage: Eukaryota; Metazoa; Chordata; Mammalia; Artiodactyla; Cervidae.